GCAGACGUGUACAAUUUUUCAAAUCAAAAAUCCAGUAAGAACAUUGUUACCUCAUUGUUAGCGAAUGGGAAGAAUAUAAAAAACAAAGGUAGAGAGAAUAAGAGGAAGAAAAAAUAUUUAAUUCAACAUAACCUACUUACUACUACAGACGCAAAGAAAAACUUGCAAUUGAAGCAAAAAUGCCUACAAGUUGAUAUGGAUUAUGUAGAAUCAAUGAAAGUGGCGGAAGAUAGCAGUGAAAAGGAUUUAUAUAGCAGCAGCAGCAAUGAGAACUCAGAAUGUUAGGUCCAUUCGUUCUUCCUCUUGCUUCAGACCAACCAGGGACAACGACAGCGGGUUUCUUAUUAAACCAAUAAAAAAACUACUUCUUUUUUUUCGAAAUCCGCUAUAAAUUCAGGGCGUGUUUGUUAUUUAGUUAUGUUUGUU
This is a long non-coding RNA of Anthonomus grandis grandis, 426 nucleotides long. RefSeq lists it as uncharacterized. The transcript is spliced from 4 exons. The record is from RefSeq and is a predicted model, not a curated record. NCBI's taxonomy places the organism in Eukaryota, Metazoa, Arthropoda, Insecta, Coleoptera, Curculionidae.